Molecule: ribosomal RNA, 494 nt
Filed under: uncultured bacterium
Lineage: Bacteria
Description: partial 16S ribosomal RNA
Rfam family: Bacterial small subunit ribosomal RNA
Source: RNAcentral
GAUGCACGCUGGCGGCGUGCCUAACACAUGCAAGUCGAACGGAGUUAUUAUUAUGAAGUUUUCGGAUGGAUUAAUAAUAACUUAGUGGCGGACGGGUGAGUAACGCGUGGGUAACCUGCCUCAUACAGGGGGAUAAAAGUUGGAAACGGCUGCUAAAACCGCAUAACAUUGCGAUGUCGCAUGUCAAUGCAAUUAAAUAUUUAUAGGUAUGAGACGGGCCCGCGUCUGAUUAGCUAGUUGGUGGGGUAAUGGCCUACCAAGGCGACGAUCAGUAGCCGGCUUGAGAGAGUGACCGGCCACAUUGGGACUGAGACACGGCCCAAACUCCUACGGGAGGCAGCAGUGGGGAAUAUUGCACAAUGGGGGAAACCCUGAUGCAGCGACGCCGCGUGAGUGAAGAAGUAUUUCGGUAUGUAAAGCUCUAUCAGCAGGGAAGAAAAUGACGGUACCUGACUAAGAAGCCCCGGCUAACUACGUGCCAGCCGCCGCCGUAA